Molecule: long non-coding RNA, 3491 nt
Organism: Xenia sp. Carnegie-2017
Lineage: Eukaryota; Metazoa; Cnidaria; Anthozoa; Malacalcyonacea; Xeniidae
Exons: 2
Source: RefSeq, a predicted model, not a curated record
UCAUGGUUUUUGCUUGCCAUUAGUGUGUGCUGAAUCGUUAUCUCAGUCAGUAUUGAAGGUUGAAACGUUGAGAUUGUUUUAAGAAUCGUUUUGCUAUCUUAGCGUAAGUUUCCCGUGAAAGUUAAUGACAGACAUCAUCAUGUUCGCAGCGAAGAGAGAAAUCUAUGGGCUGCGAGUUGGCUGCGGCUUAAAUCAUAUUUCAAUCAGCAAUGAAAGAAUAAAAAGUUAGGGUUGUGUGAAUGGUGGUUUUGCCGUCUCGGCUUAAAUUUCUUCUAAAUGUUAGUGAAACAAAACAUGAAUUUCAUCUUUGUGAGUGGCAAAGAAUUUACUAUGACCAAUAGAAGAUAUCUUGUGUAGUCGAAUCUUUCGUUCAAUCAAAAUUUUUGAUGUAAAACAUGUUGUGCGAACACCACCGCAUCCCUGCAUUUACUCGCGUCCCGAGAAUUACAUAACAUACUCUUCAUUCCUCUAUUUUUGCUUACAACGAUCGAUCAUCUAAUGUUGCCGAUGCAUUAAAUCGUUUUGUUGUCCAUAAAGGGUCAUUAUUUUAUUGCCCGGCCUCCCAACCCUUGCUUGCCGAGCAUUUGCACAUAGUCAUGCCCAUAAAGUAUCAAAGAAAACGAAAAAAUAAAUGGUUUUAGCGAAAUGAAGGACGAUUGAAUUGCGGGAAAGUAUGUAAGGUCCGCCAAGGAGGAAGUGGCUUUCGGUGAAAAAAAUUUCAAGCUGUGUUGCAAUGGAAAAAAGCAAUUAAGUUGUAUACAGAACUUUGCAUGAUUAUAUAACGAUAAAAGCAAAAUGAUUACACGAAAAAGCGUGGGAGGAAAGAGUUGUACGCCGUCAACAAAGUCCAAAUCAUUGUAUUUCAUUCGUUAUGUAUUUUAUUUAUCUCUGUUUUAUUUAACAUACAAAGCAAUGCCAAGCAUCCCUUCGUCUUUUAUAGAUUGCCUUAUACUUCACAAAUAUCUGCAAUUUGAUUGAUUUUCUCUCGAAACCCAUGAAAUGCGUUACAAUUUCGCGGUUUUAGCUAAAGUGAUGACUAUCACAGUAGCGGUUAAAGUUGCUGGGAACUUCGAUGUUUACGGGAUGAAUCGUUUGUUCCGCUAACAAAAUAUAUGUGUCAACAAGUGCCUACUAUAAUCAACAAGCUUUGACCACAACGUACGAGUGCAGGCCCUUGUUCAAAGUGUAUUUACGACAACACUUUUGUAUGCUACAUUUAUGGCUACAUCGCGGAAAAUAUUUGGAUUUUAUCUUAUCACCAAAUGAAUUUAUGUACGAUAUAUUUGUACUAUUUUAUUGCUUGUUUACCUUUCACUUUGCGCACGAAAUACAUGAAAUAUAAGACACAAAGACAAGCUUUUAUACUUUAGAACUUAACGAUCCAAAGUGAUAGCAACAAAGGCAUGAAGAAUUCACGGAUUAUUUAUCUUGUUGAGCCCUUAAGUGUUCGUAGUGGCAGUCUUCCAAUCUUUCCUCUUAAAUGUAUCAUUUGAAAUAUGUUUUGCGUAAAUUUUUGGUAUGGCUCAAUGGACAAUCUUCCCUCAAAGUGAUCUUUCUCCUCAAAAUCAACCGAUCUCUUCAUUCAUGGACGAUUGUGUCCUGGGUGGUUGACGAUUAUCGGAAAUCUGUUAGUCCUAAUUGUCCAUUAUUUUUUAAUUAUCUCCUCAUGUGUUGGGAGCAUUCAUACAAAGGAUAAUUGAAACCAAGUAGGCUUUUUAAACCUAUGAUUGUUUAAGCUUUCCGUAUGGAAACUGAUAUCUCUCGAUAUUUCACGAACAGCUGGUUUGUUGCUAUUUAAGUUAAUCGUGUGGUAUUUUUGGUGAUGAAUUUUGGAAGAUUUUUCCGUUUGCGGUGUGAGGGGGAAGUUGAAAAUGCACUUUAUUUGAGGGAGUGUUUUGCUUGCGUGUCACCACUUCUAUUAUAGAUUACGAUCGAGAGAAAAUCGUGUUACCAAAAGACGGGGACCUGUUUUUUCGAAACAUAAACAGGUGUUAGCUUCACUUUUGAAAACAAAGCUAUUAGGUUUCAAUCUAGUCACUUCCAUCUUCUACAGCACGAAAUCAUCAAUUACAUAAUUGGGCAGGUCACUGUCAAUCACACAAUACGCAAACCAAGCUUUUCCUUAGCAUUGAAAUUUCAUUGUCAGCUUUGUUUCUGUUGUCAACGAGACUUCGUUGGCUUUGCUUGUUCUUGACAAUAGCGAAUAAGCUGCCCCCCAGUACGACUACGCCAUAUUGUUGUUUCAUCUUCCGCAUUGAAUAUAAGUCGCAUUUGACGCCCAAACCAAAACCUAAAUCUUAUAGAAAAUGCGUUUCUUCCUAUGUGUUAUGAACUGUCUACAUUUGCAUUUGUGCGGCUGAAUGCUUUUCGUACACGACAUUCGCAAGAAUGUUGAAUUGUUUGUUUGCCAAACGACAAACGUCACCUAAUGUUCUUCAAAUACGAAGUUUAGCUGCAUUGUGUAUUCACGUUUUUGUGUUUCAAGAUUUGUGAUGAGAAGAUUUCAGUGUGUUUAAGUGCUUUGCGGCUUUUGAUAAGGCCACUAAAUACAUAUAGUCGAUAAAGCAAAAUGCCCUUCACCCCACGCAAUCGAACGCGAGAGACGCAACUCCCAUUAUCAAUGAUUUUGGAAUUCAGCCAAUGAGAACGAUGGGUUGUGUAAAGGUUAAUUGGACAUGUGCGACCAGCUGCGCCUUUAAAAACGCGACUUGAAGCAGUCGUCACCAGUCGCUUCUGUGGAUACGAAACAAACGCUAUCUGCAAAGUGUUGAACGACCGCUGACUUUUGGUAGAAGAUAUCGUUUAAUAAACAGAGUUGAUUCAGAAAAUGAAUUCCAAGAAUAUGCUAUUUUUUUGCCUUAUGGUGUGCCUUCUUCUUGACUAUUACCACAAGACGGAAGGAUUCCUUGCAUGUAAGCGUAUACUUAAGAGAAAAUGUAGCAGACGGACGACAAGGCUGGUAAAGAGAGAGUUAAAAGAGGCUCGACAGACAAACAGGGAACUUAAGAUGAUAAAAAAGUAUUUAAAGAGAACUUUGUCCAGGCAGAAAAGUCGAAUUCCUAAAUUUUCGUGACGUGCAGCCUGAGGAUGUCGGCAGUUUUGUGGUAGUUUGGAAGUUCCGAUCUUUUGAUGGUGGACAAUUUAAUUUUGAAUAGAAAUAUCUUCGAUGUUCGAUAAGUGUUAUUACUUGACCACGAUAUUAAUAGUGUUAAUUUCAUUUUAUUUAUCGCUUUAGAAAACACUCGGUUGGACCGAAACGAUAAUACUUAUUUUAAUGUUAACAAUAAAUAGAUACACACCAACAGUAAUACUGUUAAUUAUGAUAUGUGCAUUCUAUUUUGUGCUGUUAUGUUAAGUUAUAAUCGUCAAAGCAAACAAUCUUUAUCAGCUUACUGUAAAAAACCAUAGAUAAGUGAAUCCUCGUAAAUUACAAGAGCUAUCUCCCGUACGGUAAAUGUUGUACCAGGGAGAAAUGCCCUCGAACUUUUAAA